GUCUGACCUGCCCAGUGAGGAGUUUAACGGCCGCGGUAUAUUGACCGUGCAAAGGUAGCAUAAUCAUUAGUUUUUUAAUUGAAAGCUUGAAUAAAAGGUUUGAUGAAAAAAAUUCUGUCUCUGUAAAAAUUUAUUAGAAUUUUAUUUUUAAGUAAAAAAGCUUAAAUAUCAAUAGAAGACGAGAAGACCCUAUAGAAUUUUAUGUUUUGCUUGUAGUUAAAUUUAAAGUAAGUAAAAUUUUAUUAUUUGUUAAAAUAUUUUGUUGGGGUGAUAGAAAAACUAAAUUAACUUUUUUUUAAUUAAUACAUUAAUUUGUGAUUAAAUGAUCCUAAAGUUUAGAUUAUAAGAUUAAAUUACCUUAGGGAUAACAGCGUAAUUUUUCUUAGAGUUCUUAUUGAAAGAAAAGAUUGCGACCUCGAUGUUGGAUUAAAAUUAAUUAUUGGUGUAGAAGCUAAUUAAAUUAGGUCUGUUCGACCUUUAAAAUUUUACAUGAUCUGAGUUUAAACCGGUGUGAG
Molecule: ribosomal RNA, 515 nt
Filed under: Trigonopterus sp. 101 AR-2022a
Lineage: Eukaryota; Metazoa; Arthropoda; Insecta; Coleoptera; Curculionidae
Description: partial large subunit ribosomal RNA
Rfam family: Bacterial large subunit ribosomal RNA
Source: RNAcentral